RNAcentral lists this ribosomal RNA (253 nucleotides) under uncultured bacterium. RNAcentral's name for it is "partial 16S ribosomal RNA". It matches the Rfam family "Bacterial small subunit ribosomal RNA", at positions 524 to 776 of the family's 1533-position model. The record is from RNAcentral.
GACGUAGGGUGCAAGCGUUGUCCGGAUUUAUUGGGCGUAAAGAGCUCGUAGGCGGCUUGUUGCGUCGACUGUGAAAACCCGCGGCUUAACCGCGGGCUUGCAGUUGAUACGGGCAGGCUAGAGUUCGGUAGGGGAGACUGGAAUUCCUGGUGUAGCGGUGAAAUGCGCAGAUAUCAGGAGGAACACCAGUGGCGAAGGCGGGUCUCUGGGCCGAUACUGACGCUGAGGAGCGAAAGCGUGGGGAGCGAACAGG